Mirounga angustirostris (Northern elephant seal) is the source of this 9195-nucleotide long non-coding RNA. RefSeq lists it as uncharacterized. NCBI's taxonomy places the organism in Eukaryota, Metazoa, Chordata, Mammalia, Carnivora, Phocidae. The transcript has 3 exons. The record is from RefSeq and is a predicted model, not a curated record.
AUUUAUUAUUCUCAAAAUAUGUUUAUAUUAACGUGCAAUGAGUUUAUUAAUUUUAAAAUGGAUUAGUAAAUAUAUAUUUAAAUAUUUUCAGUUAAAAAUACAAUAACUGUAAGUAGUAAAUAUAAAUAGAUAUAACCCACAUAAAGUUCUUUGGGAUCUUUAGUAAUUUUUAAGGAUGCAAAGGGGUCUUGAGGACAAAACAUUUGAGAACUGCUCCCCAACAUCAUACCCCUUUAACCAAAUCUGAUUCUCCUGGGUAAGACCAGACACUUUUUAAAAAAUUAUUCCUCGGAUGAUUCUGAUGUAGCCUGAGAACUAUUGGAAUAGAAUGCCUCUUUGUUGGAGAAAGUCCCAUUCUAAUGUUGAGCUGUAGGAACAAUGCCAGGAACAAGGGCAGGCCUUAACAGGCCUACCGGGGACUCUAAAGAUGCUGUUGACUUUGUACUACCAAGGAGCAGAGGUAAUCUCUCCAGAUCUGGGUAGGAGGGGGCAAGGAAACUCCCAACCCAAUUCCUGAUUCUUCUUGACUAAGAGAAGCAGCUGAGAGUCAAACAGAGAGAAUGAGCCUUAAGAGGAAGAGUUCCAGUUCUGGACACCAUUGCUAGAGCUCUGGGCUCAGUAGGAAAAAUCAUAGACCCAGUCAGGGGGAUUGUGAUUCUCCCCAUGUUCCAACUAACCUCGAGACCAGAGAGGUAGGUUGUGGGCCAAAUCUGGCUCACGGAGAUGCAUUAUUUGUACUUCGCAGAAUGGAGAAGCUUUCUGGAAUCAGACGGAAGCAUUCAAAAAAUUUGAAAUUCCAGAUUUCUAGCUCAUCUUAAAAAUUGGAAGAUCUGGCACACAUGGGCCUAAACUCUACAUGGCAACCAUUGUCUGGACCUGCACCAGUGUUGCUGCCAACAGGUGGAAUCUAAGCCCUCCGCAGUCUCCAGGCCACCUCACUUGCCUGGCCCCGGGGGUUGCCAUCCCUGUUCUAGACAGCUCAAAGAGAAGGGUGGGAUCAUUCGGUGGUCUAAGGAGAAGACAAGGACGAGGUCUGUCCCAGCGCCUGUACUCUUCUUGUCCAGAAUGACAAGAUGGCCACGCAAACUCAGGGUGGGCCUAGCAGAGUCUGAAAUCUGGCACUGGGACUUCGGGUUGAUCUAAUUUGCCUGGGUGCAAGGAUUAGAGGCCAACAGUUGGAUGUUUCCAUUACCGAUUUUAGUUAUUGUGCUAGGAAUAGCACUAGUCAUAGCUCUAAAGGGCUCCAAUGAGCUGUAUGUGAUCGAUUCACUGCAUCUUCUUUGUGAAUAUAAGAGCUCAGAGAAACCAGUAUGCUCCACUUGGUGUGUUUUUGACAUCACUUGUGUCAUCAUGAAAAGAGCAGUUAUACUGAAUCCCUUGAUCUGCUCCACAGAGAAAUCUCUUGCUCUGUUGCUUCAUUUUCAUAUUUGGUCUUCAUUCAUCAAUCCGGUUAAGAAAAGCCACCUCCUCAAGUGUCAGCUGUGGAUCCAAAAACAUCUACCAAAGAUAAGCUGUUGUCAUGGCAAAAAACAACAAACCUGAAGGUGAUGGAUCACGGGACUUGGUUACUGUACUUGCCUGGGAGUCCGCACUGCCUCCAACCUUUACUUAACUCUACAUGCGGCUUUUCAACACCGCGUUCCUGGGUUGUUUCAAAAGCACUUUGCUUCUCACUUUGCAACUCCUCGAGCCAAUGGCAUUCAACCACAUUACGUAGAUCUGCACUUGCUAUAUUGCUUGGCAGUCUUAAAAUCCGGCUUUUGUUCAAAAAUGUUCAUAGAAGUUUGGAAAAUAUAGAAGAUAGUCUGUUAGGAUCUGGAGUUUUUUGUUUGUUUUCUGCUCAUUAAAAACAACAACAACAACAACAACAACCCCAAGUAUUGAAGCAAAUCUUAGGAUAAAAGUUCACUAAAAACAUCUUGGUUGCAUGUCAGGUUGAAUCCCAACAUAAGAAGUUGCAGUAACUAGGUCUUAAUGAUUAAUUCUUCCACUGACUAAUUUGUUGACUUUAGUUAGGUUACUUAAUUUUUCUGCUAUUCCUUUGUCCAAACAGCAAGAAUUCCAAAUUAGAAUUUAUUUAAAAUCUAAUAAACAAACAGAACUGAAAGAGGCUUAUGGCUCUAGCUUAAACAUGGUGUUUAGCCAUGUUGACUCACCAAAUUUUUAAAACCUAUCACAAUUUGACUUAAUUUAAGAAAAAAACUUUCUCAUUAAGGAAAUAUUUUCCAUGCCUACGUGUAUUCAAAAUGUGAUUUUGUGACUAUGAAUUCACUUGGACUGUUUCUGCAUUUUGGAAUUAAGGGGAGGGGAAGAAUGCCCACCCUACCCUUGAAGUGAAGUAAGAGUUGCUUCAAACUGUGCCCCCACGGAAAACUUGACAUGCAUUUCCCAUGUUUGUGGGGAGGAAGAUCAAGCACUCAAGUCUGAGCCCCAUGAAGGAAAUCCAAGUUCAGAAGCCAAGCUGCUGACCUGCUCUGGUGGAAGAGUGAAGAACAGAAGUUAAUGUUGAGCAGGGACAGGCUGGCUCUCUCAGGGUAAGUGGGGCAAGGAAUGCAGGCAUAUGGACCCAUGAAGGACAGUGCACAGAAGAGAGGGAAUCAGCUUAGAGAUUUCUUAGAUUUCUUAGAUGUUAUUGAUGGGAGUAUUCAAAGAUGCCUGAAAAUCAUCAACAUAUGUCCCUUCAGAAGAUGGGUCUAGUUCCCAUCCCAUUGAUCAUUUGGCCUUCAUGGCUCAGUCCUACAGAAUAGAAUGUGGAGAAAGUGAUGCUGCAUGUCUUUGGAGGCUGGUUAAUAAAAGACAAAACAACUUCUGCCUCACUAGCACUCUUAGGACAGGUAUUCUGGAAACCUUCUGCCACCACAUAAGAGGCCCAGUUACCCUGAGGUAGCCAUGUAAAGAGACCGAGAGAGAGAGACUCAAGGAGCCCCUGGCUAGCUUCCACACCGGUGAGGUAUUAUACUCCGAGCACUGUUCGGGUAUGGUUGGUCCCACAGGGACAGAGAAUGGGAACAUCUAGUACGACAACCUGAAGACGUGAUGGAACAUUAGCACAGAAGAAACUGGGGUUGGCUUCCGGUUCCCUGGGCAUUGAGGGAGGAGUAAGCAACCAGCUCUCUGGUCAUGGGAACUAUGGAUUGAGAGGCAAUUGCAAAAUUGGAGGUUUUUGAAGAACUUAUAAGAUAAAGUGAGGCUUUCAACAUUUUCCAGGCCCAGUGUGAAAUUGCUUUAUGAUGGUCUGAGUCAGGAAAAAACAUCCCUAUUCCCUCAACCUCUUCUUCUUCCUUUGGCUGUUUCAUUAAGCUAGGCCACACAUUCCCCUGCUGAAAAAAACAUUUUCAUAACUUUGAGAUGGAGAAACCAUUUCUAAGCAUGAUGCACAAAACCAAGAAGUCACAAAGGAAAAGACUAAAUAAAAAUGUAAAAAGUUUGAGCAGCAAAACACAGUAUUUUUGAAAUGUUAAAAGAGAAGCAACAAACAGGAAAACUAUUGACAGUCUAUAAUAAAGGAUUAAUUGCACACAACAUAUAUGGCUUAAUAUGUGCCAAUAAAUCAGUUAGGAGAAUAUGAACAAUGGAUAAAAGAAGUCUCUUGAUAGAAUAAAGAGAAUUAGUCAAGAAAUAUAAACAAAUAUAUUCAAACUCACCAAUCAUUACAGAAAUAAAUUUAAAUGUAUUCAUAUUUAUUGUACUUAGCAUCUGUAUUGGUUUCCUGGAGCUACUGUAACAGUACCACAAACAGGGCGGCUUGAGAAACAGAAAUUGAUCGUCUCAUGGCUGUGGAAGCUAGAAGUCUGUGAUCAAGGUGUUAGCAAGGAAAAAAGUUAGUGAGAUGUGCAGUCUGCACCCCCAGGAGAAAUGCGGAGUGUCUGUCAGCCUGUCCUCUCGUGGCCGUGUGGGUGUGAAUGAUAUGACCAGACUCAACAGAGGAAUCUUCAACAUCAGUGUCAUCACAUGGGCCAUUUUGGGAGUCAUUUAACACAGCUCCGAAACCACCCCAUGUCCCCUGAGACCCUGCAACAUCAGCCUGCCACUAGAAAACUGAUGCCAAAUAUGAAUUUGGAGAACACUGGCUAUUAGUCUUUUCAGGUUUCCUAUGGUGUGUGUGUAUGAGCUACCUAAGUAACCACUUAUUUUAUUGUUUUUUAAGCAGAUCUUUAAAAGGUUUCUUUUUUUUUUUCCUUCUAGCAUUCAAUGGUUGCAUUUGGGAAGCACACUUCUAGGAAUAAUGACAAAAUUUGGGUUAAAUUUCUUUGCCUCUUUUUUUUUAAAUUAAUUCAAAUAGACUGCCCUCGAUAAAUACCCAUCUGAGGUCAUUACACUGUCCAAGCAGUAUUUCAUGGGUAAAAGAAAGUGACUGAGACAGCACUGUAGCAUGAGGCUUUGUAAGGGCUCAGGGUUUCAGUCGCCUUUUCAGAGCGGCUGACAUUUAGACCUCUGAAUUGGGAUUAGUUCAGAAUGGACCAUGUAUGGGGAAAAACGUGGAUAAUGACAGUCAUUCCAGAGAAGGCAGAAAUGAGGAUCUCAGAUUGGAAACUAAUUUUAGUUAUCCUGCACAUGCUCAAGCCCCUGUCACACUCCUCUGUAUCUCUCCUCUCCCUGAAUGGUUCGCUCAUGUAGCAGGCAGUGCCUGAUAGCAUUUAUGGGCAUCUUCGAGAUGCUCUUCCCACCAUACUUUGCAAGAACUCAACAUUGCCCUUUGGUACCAAUGACUUACGAGAACGACUUGUAGCAUUCCAUUGCCCAAAGAGCAUUGAUAGAUGUCAGAAUUCUGAAAUAGCUGCAGGAGCAGUUGCCAGCACAAAUCUUGCGAGCAAAACUUAGAGAGUGGUGGAUUACAAUGUCAGAACUUCGGGAAAGUGUAUUCAUCACAAGAUGGAGUCAAGUGGUUCACACAUUGGUGUUUUAUCAGUUGUUGACCGUUGUUAGUAAACGCAGAGGUAUCCUACCGAGCAGAUCGCCUCUGCCCAAAGACUGCCUGAAUCAUUGAUGCAGUAGAUUUUUUUUUUUUUUUUUAAGUAGGGGCUUGAACUCACAACCCUGAGAUCAAGACAGGAGCUGAGAUCAAGAGUUGGACGCUUAAUGGACUGAGCCACCCAGGUGCCCUGAUGCAGUAGAAUUCUGACUAGAAUGUAUUAGUCAAGAUGGGACCCACUCAUAGUCCACAUAUCUCUUCUACUGAUGUUUCAUACUGCUAGUUAAUUUCCAUGAGCUUAUAUCUCAUCCCUUAACUAGUUUAUGGUUGGAUCCUGGGACUGCCUGAGGCCUGUUGGAAAGAGAAGAGCUUACUAUGGAAACACGAUUCUGGUCCAACAGGUUGAAGAUUCCUGGUAGCGAUCAGAGAUUACUCACUAAAGGGGAAUUGAGUGGAGUGUUUUGCAGAACUUCUGGAAACAAAAUCAGAUGGAGAUGGUGCCCACUGGGAGAUGUUACAGUGUGAGGGGACAAUGAUCUGUACCUUUUGGAAUAUAAAAGAAAGAUAAGGAAGGGUUUUCAUACUUGGGUAUUUUUUAUUAACAUUCGUCAUUCCUUUCUCCACCCUCCGAUUUUACUAAGCACGCUCUAUACAGCAGACACUUGGAUAAGAAUUUCUCUAUUACUUAGCCAUUACUUUGUCUCCAAUUCCUUUAAUGUUUUCUUUAGUACAAUAUUUAAGAGCAUAGUCUUUUUGGGUCACACAGAGUUUUUUGUGUAUCAUGCAAUAAGACCUUAUUGACCCUAUGAACUUGAGCUGAUUACCGAAUCUUUCUGAGACUGUUUUCUCAUCUAUAAAAUGGAGGUCAAGGGGCGCCUGGUCUGCUCAGUCAGUGGAGGGUGCAACUCUUGAUCUUGGGGUUGUGAGUUCAAGCCCCAUGUUGGGUGUAGAGAUUACUUAAAAAUAAAAUCUUUAAAAUAAAUAAAUAAAUAAUUAAUUAAUUAAAUGGAGAUCAAAAUACUCCUUGUCUCGUGGGGUUGUUGUAAGACUAAACGAGAUUAUGUCUAUAAAAUAGUUUAAGCUCAAUGUGGGAAAAUAGUAAGCACUUGCUAUCACUAUUUACUGCAAGUUUUUCAUUUUUCUAUUAGAUUGAGCCAUUUGAAACUGCCAUUUUUGUAUGUCAAAAACUGUAGAAUUUUGGUGACUUUAUAUGGUUCAACUUCAUGUUUGUUGUGUUACCUAGAAGGACUUAACGUUGGUUGUCAUUACAGUUGAGGAGACUGAUCUCCUAAAUAGUGUAAAUUAGGAAAGGAAUAUGUUAUCCAAAGACUGGAGGUCUUUUAUAAGUUUGUUUCAAAUUGUAAGUUUAUUUCAUUCAGGAUUACAUUUCUUUGUAUAACUGAGCACUUAACUCAGGGCUCUCUACAUAGGAAAUGAUUAAUAAAUAUUAGAGUAAUGAAUUCAUACAUAUGAAAUACCUGAACUUUAGGAAACAGGCAACUACUUUUUAAAAAAGCACCCACUGAGUGGCUCAGUGGGUUAAGCAUCCGACUCUUGAUUUCAGCUUAGGUCGUGAUCUGAGGGUUGUGAGAUCAAGCCCCUGUUAAGAUUUUCUCUCCCUCUGCCCCUCCCUGCCCCUCACCUGCUCUCUCUAAAUAAAUAAAUAUUUAAAAACUUAAAAAAAAAAUCGCCCUAUUUCCUUGGUUAUAAAACUCCAUUUCUAAUACCUAAGAUCCAGGUGACACAUCAUUUCAAAAACAUGAAUAAAGCGAAUAUUUCUGAUGUGAGUUGACCCAGUUGAGUUUUGGGAAUUAGAUCUAUCAUAUAGAAACCAUUUGACUUCAAUCCAGUGAUUCCUGAUGAAAAAUAAGGCUGUGCAAGCCACAGCAUGGAAAUGGGUGUUACGUCAAGGGUGAAGGUUGCAGUCAUAUCUCAGUUCUUCUCCAAAAAAAGAAAGAAAGAAAGAAAGAAAGAAAGAAAGAAAGAAAGAAAGAAAGAAAGAAAGAAAGAAAGAAAGAAAAGAAAAGAAAAGGAAAGAAAAGAAAAGAGAUCCCAGAUCAGAAAUAAAAGAAGCUAGAAGUUAUAAGGCUCUGUUUCCAGCCAGGGAUGAGAGAACCAUACAAAAUCAAAAGAAGCUUAGGUUCUUCACUCCUCAACCCACAUGCUAAGCAGCUUUACUGUCAAGUCUAAAACCACCCAUAGUAAGAAAUGCGACUUUGGUUCGUGGUUUUGGUCCAGAGGAAACAGUUAAGUUAUGAAUGGUUGCUUUGAAACUUGGUCACUGGAUGACCCUCAUUGAGUUCCAAUGAAAGGUGAAUUUAAUAUAUAAAUUUGAAUUUAGAAUAUAAAUUAGGAGGGUGUUUGCAAACCUAUAGAGACAGAAAGUAGAUUAGUGGUUACAAGGGGAUGGGUGGAGGUGAGGACAGCUAAAGGAUGUGAGGUUGUUUUUUGUGGUGUUGGAAAUGUUCUAAAGUUGCACAGCUUUAUGACUUUCCUAAAAAGCACCAGAUUAUACAUUUUAAAUGGCUGAGUGAUGUUGUAUGUGAAUUAUAUCUCAAUGAAACUCUUUCAAAAAGCAAAAGAAAAAGUGAAAGAGAAAUUUCUUUUACAAACCUUUACCCCUACCAUGAAGAUAUAUAACCUUGGUAAGCAUUUUGGUGUGUAAGUCUUCUGGACUUUUUUCCAUGCUAUAAGACCUGUUUAGUAACCUGUCUUUUUAAACGUAACAAUGUAAUAUGCAUAUUUUUAUGCCAAUGUACAUCAUCUUCAUUAAAUGGCUGCGUGAGACUCCAUUUAUUUACAUAUACCUACAUUUGCUUAGCCAAUAUCUUAUGAUUAAAUAUUUAGAUUGUUUCUUCUUUACCAUUUACAUACUUCUUUGCACCUAAAAAAAUUAACAAGGAGAAUCUCUGAUAAACAGACUGACGAACCCAUAACACAUCAGUGGCACAAGCAGAAGAGUUGACUUUUUUUCUUGCUUUUAAUGCAGCUCACACGUAUAAACACGGUCUCUAUGAUACAUAAACACUUAACUGUGCACCGGGCACAGUGCUUUGUGCUGCAGAUGCUACAAAUCACACUAAUUAUCUGUCCUCAGUUCAGCCUCGAAUUACCACUUCAUGGGCAAUAUUUCUAAUUCCUUUUAGGUAAUAAUUCAAGAUAAUAGCAUAUCUUAUACCAGACAGUAGUUCAUUUCCUACGGCAUAUUUUGCUAUCAUAGCCUACACCAUAGAAUCCAAGAAUGUUAUGCCCACAGAUCAUCUACGGAAACCCUACAUCAUUAUAUUGUAGAUGCCCCCGCACCUGCCCAGCUCUAGACCCCCUUUCCCCAUCAACUGGUGGUGUGAGAGUAGAAGCUGGAUCUGAAAUAAAAUUCUCUUUUUUCCACUGCUAAUUACAGUGAGAAAUCGGGAGAACGCUAUUGCUUUCGGCUAACGCAAUUAACACUUAGAUGUGAAUGAUAAUAGGUUUAAUCUUCCAGGAGCAUGAGUAUUUUAAAAGAGAAGUCACCAAUAGUAAUACUUUCGGCAUACUUAUAGCCCUUGGCCAUUUACAAAGCACUUUCAUACUGAACCGCAUAAUAGUAGGAUAUCUAUUGUACAGAUGGACAGAUCCAAGACUCAGAGGCAGGUCUUCCUUUGUCGGGACAGAAAUGGUAGAUGGCAAAACUGAAGCAGACACCAGAUCUUCCCUCACUUAACCCAAAGCUCUUUCCACUCACAAAUUAUCCAAAUGAAUCGGUGGGAUGCCUGUCUGGGUAUUUUUGAGCAAUCUACACUUUCCCCUCCUCCAGCAAGAAUAGGAGUCAACCACCUGGCUCUUUACUUCUGAAAAUGUGCUCCCCCGACCCCACAGCUAACCGGAGAAAUCUGGGUCCUUUGACAGCUGUCUUAACAGACUUAGAUGAUAGACGAUUUCGGCAUCUCCGCAGGGCCAGUGCUCUUUACAAAGUUCACCAAUGAGCACGAGACACAUGCUAGCUGUGCUUAUUUACAACUCAGUUUUAGUGGAGGCCAGGUUGAAAUAUUCGAGGGAAACGGAUAUGAAAUGUUUCAAAAAAAAAAAAAAAAAAAGAUGGAUUUUGUAUUUCUUCAAAACAAUUAUGCCCAGGGAAGCAAGAGCUCCUCCUAAUCCUCUCUGCAUUCUUCCCCACGACCCCGGCCGCCACUUGCUGCCCGCCUGAGGAUCACGCCCUUUCCGUCACGGGGAGCCAUCCGCCCUGACACGUCCUGGGCUCUGUUUCUCCUCCCAGCCUUUCAGCACCAAGUAUUGGACACACAUUC